RNAcentral lists this ribosomal RNA (468 nucleotides) under uncultured bacterium. RNAcentral describes it as "partial 16S ribosomal RNA". It matches the Rfam family "Bacterial small subunit ribosomal RNA", at positions 28 to 507 of the family's 1533-position model. The record is from RNAcentral.
GACGAACGCUGGCGGCGUGCUUAACACAUGCAAGUCGAACGGAAAGGCCCUGCUUUUGUGGGGUGCUCGAGUGGCGAACGGGUGAGUAACACGUGAGUAACCUGCCCUUGACUUUGGGAUAACUUCAGGAAACUGGGGCUAAUACCGGAUAGGAGCUCCUGCUGCAUGGUGGGGGUUGGAAAGUUUCGGCGGUUGGGGAUGGACUCGCGGCUUAUCAGCUUGUUGGUGGGGUAGUGGCUUACCAAGGCUUUGACGGGUAGCCGGCCUGAGAGGGUGACCGGACACAUUGGGACUGGAAUACGGCCCGGACUCCUACGGGAGGCAGCAGUGGGGAAUAUUGCACAAUGGGCGGAAGCCUGAUGCAGCAAAGCCGCGUGCGGGAUGACGGCCUUCGGGUUGUAAACCGCUUUCGCCUGUGACGAAGCGUGAGUGACGGUAAUGGGUAAAGAAGCACCGGCUAACUACGUG